Molecule: non-coding RNA, 73 nt
Organism: Merluccius polli (Benguela hake)
Lineage: Eukaryota; Metazoa; Chordata; Actinopteri; Gadiformes; Merlucciidae
Source: the annotation of a GenBank genome assembly
AGCAUAGUCCAGUGGUUAGGGUGUUGGACUUCCAGCCCAAAUGUUCUGGGUUCGAACCCCAACGUCCAGUCUA